Molecule: ribosomal RNA, 253 nt
Filed under: uncultured bacterium
Lineage: Bacteria
Description: partial 16S ribosomal RNA
Rfam family: Bacterial small subunit ribosomal RNA
Source: RNAcentral
UACGGGGGGGGCAAGCGUUGUUCGGAAUUACUGGGCGUAAAGGGCGUGUAGGCGGCCAACUAAGUCCGACGUGAAAUCCCCAGGCUUAACCUGGGAACUGCGUCGGAUACUGGAUGGCUUGAAUUCGGGAGAGGGAUGCAGAAUUCCAGGUGUAGCGGUGAAAUGCGUAGAUAUCUGGAGGAAUACCGGUGGCGAAGGCGGCAUCCUGGACCGACAUUGACGCUGAGGAGCGAAAGCCAGGGGAGCAAACAGG